Long non-coding RNA from Heterocephalus glaber (naked mole-rat), 2253 nucleotides. The record is from Ensembl. NCBI's taxonomy places the organism in Eukaryota, Metazoa, Chordata, Mammalia, Rodentia, Bathyergidae.
GCCCUGUCGUGGAGUUUCUCCCCUGUGUUGUCCCUCUGCCAUGCCACCCUGCCUUCGAGCCAGCUGAGUAUGGAUUGAAAUCUCUACAAACUAAAUAUCAAAAGUCCAAAUUGCCCAGAACCUCAACCCUUCUAGUCAACCAAGAUGUCUGAAAUCCCCACCAUGACUCAGUUCUUUCUCUUAAGAAUAUCUGGAAACCCACUGGUAUAGAAGAUGAAUUUUAAGAUCUUGCUUGGACAAUGAUUAGCAAGGAGCAAAAUGGUUUGGUGGAGGGGAAGGCCAGUGGUGCUGAGAGCUGCGCUCGUGACAGACGCUCCAAACUGAAUGUUCCAAACUUAUUGAUGAGCUCUGACGCAGGCUUGACUUGAGCAAGCACAGCACAGAUAGAGACAUUUUCCAGCAAUUAAAUGAAGCAAGCUACUGAGUUGGGCUGAUUUCUCUUAUCAACUAAGAGGACCCAGAUAUGAGAUGGAGGUAUUUCUGAAGUAUCUGUUGAGACAGAAAGACUUAUUUUUCAAGAACUGAAAGCUCUGGCCAAUUUUUGCAGAUAUUGAAGAAGCUGAAAGACACUCUCUUCUUGAGUACUUGAGGAUGAGCUGGUAGGAGCUCAGUCCUGAAAUGGAAGAUGAAAGACUCCACUGUUGAUAAAAACAACCCGUGAAAAAGGGCCGCCAAACAGUAUGCUGUUUUCUCCAGCCUACCAGAACUUUAAUUCCAAAAUCCAGUUGUCACAGUUAGAUGAAGUCACACUUCUAGUAUACUUGCUUUGUAUUCUGAUUCCUAUUCAACAUGUGGAAGGAUUUAGAAAUAUGUGACAAAGGAGCAUCACUGGAGAAAAGGCUGCCUCUAAAACUGGCUGGCUUGUUCACAUAAAUUGCCUGUGCAAUACGCCAUCACAAUGUAUGAGUUUUUUAUUUUUAAUUUUUAUUAGUGCAUGUUUGCAAAAAAUAAUUAUAUUCAUUGUAGGGAAUGGGUACAUGUACAUAAUAUAUCUCAAUUCUUUUUAUUUUCUCCUUUAAUGCACCCACUUUUAUUUUCCCAUCAUCAGAUUCAUUUAUUUAUCUUAUAAGCCACUAUAAAAUUAAUUAUUGUAUAUGCAGGUUAACAAACAGAUAGUAGAGCCAAAACAUAUAAAUCACAUAAGGCAACUAUACUAAAUCAUAGUACACUUUUAGAUACAUCAUUCACACUGGAUAAAAAUAACUUUUUUUCCUCUUUUAUCUGUGUAUUAUUUGUUUUUUCACACUUUUCAUAUUGAGUUUUUCAUAUAAAAGAAACCAUGCUAUAUUUAAGCUUAUGUGUCUUAUUUACAAAUGCCUCAUUUAUGACUUUUUAAAAAGCAGGAAUGAUAGUAUCUGUAAUAGCUGACAGAAACUGAAAAGAAAAGAAAAAGAGGAAGAAGAAAGAUUAAGAAUAGUAGGAGAUAGGUGUAGGAGAAGAAGAAAAAGAGGAAGAACUUUAAGCUUCUGUAAAUUACUGUUAAGUUGGAAAUUGAUACACACAUGUUUAUAACAUAUUGUGUUAUAAAGGAAAUAAUGAAACCAAUGUUCCAGGGUAUAAAAGUGUGACAAGUAUAGUAUAGAUUUAUGAAAUAGCCCAAAAUAAUGAACAAAAUAUUAAAAAAAUAUGACCUUCAUUGCAUUUAUUAGAAAAUAAACCUGACAACAUCUUAGCAUCUCUGGAUAGUUAUGAAAACCUAGCAAAUCAUCUGACUCAUGUAUUCCCAUGUGAGUUUGUUUAAUUAUUUUGUGAUCCAUGAAUUUAGUUAAGUACUUUAUAAAGAGCAGAGUUAUCAGCUUAUCUACAAUAUUGCAUGACAUUUUCUUUGAAUGUUUCCUUCCAUUUCUGAACCUUCAAUAAACUUGGUGUAUUUUAGACAUAUUGUUAUAUUGAAAGUGCAGGCCAGGUGUGCUGGUGCACACUGUAAUCACAGCACUCCAGAGGCUGACACGAGGAUUGCUGUAAGUUCGAGGCUAGCUUAGGCUACAAGUUCAAAGUUGGGCUAGUGAGUUCAAGGCCAGUCUAAACUGCAUAGUGAGAACCUGUCUCAAAAAAACAAAAACCAACAAACAAAUAAAGAAUUGCAACAAGUGAACAAGUGAACAUCUGGAGCUGGAUGUUAAUUUUUUAGAGUCCAAAUGCAUCCUAAUCUUGCGAACACUUUUCUUCAUUUGCAGAAUAAUAAACAAAGGAUGUUCAUUUUCCUUCACCUUUAUUGUUGUUAAUAUAUUAUGCAUACAUCAACUUUCUUAC